RNAcentral lists this ribosomal RNA (1500 nucleotides) under uncultured bacterium. RNAcentral describes it as "bacterial SSU rRNA". It matches the Rfam family "Bacterial small subunit ribosomal RNA". The record is from RNAcentral.
AGAGUUUGAUCCUGGCUCAAGAUGAACGCUAAUAGUAUGCUUUACACAUGCGAGUCUGACGAAAUAUUUCGUGGCGGACGGGUGAGGAGCGCGUAAAUUGUUGCCUUUUAGUUUAGGAUAAAAUUUAUCGAUUUUUGCUUUAAUAAUCGAAAAAUAAAAAAUUAAUACUAAAUAAAAAAAUUAUUUUAAAUAAUUUGCUAAAAGAUACUUUUGCGUAAGAUUAGAUUGUUGGUAAUUUAAUAGAUUACAAAGUCAUCGAUCUUUAGUUGGUUUGAGAAAACGACCAACCACACUGGAACUGAGACAAGGUCCAGGCUAAAUUUUUAGCCAGCAGUGAGGAAUAUUGGACAAUGAACGAAAGUUUGAUCCUGCAAUACUAUAUGAAUGAUGACGGCUAUUUUGGUUGUAAAGUUCUUUCGUUUAAAACGAUAAUGACGUUAUUAAAAGAAGUUUAAGUCCCGGCUAAUCUCGUGCCAGCAGCCGCGGUAAUACGGGAGGGGCAAGCGUUAUCUGGAAUUAUUGGGCGUAAAGAGUCCGUAGGCUGUAUUAUAAGUUAUUUGUUAAACCCUAAAACCUAAUUUUAGAAAAGCAAUUAAUACUAUUAUACUAGAGUUUUGAAUAGAAAAGCAGAAUUUCAUGUCGAGGAUUCUCUGUAGACACAUGAAGGAAUAUCAAUAGUGAAGACAGCUUUUUACUGAAAACUGACGUUGAGGGACGAAAGUGUAGGUAGCAAACAGGAUUAGAUACCCUGGUAGUCUACACUGUAAAUUUUGAGUGCUGUAAUUUAAAAUUAUUUUAGAUUUUUAAGCUAACGCCAUAAGCACUCCGCCUGAGGAGUACGGUCGCAAGAUUAGAACUCAAAGGAAUUGACGGGGGCCUACAACAAGUGGUGGAGCAUGUGGUUUAAUGCGAUAAUCCGCGCAAAACCUUACCAGCCUUUGACAUAAUACAAAUAAAUAAAAACCUUUUUAGUUAAGGCUUUUAAUUUAUUUAUUACAGGUGUUGCACGACUGUCGUCAGCUCGUGUCGUAAGAUGUUUGGUUAAUUCCUUUAACGAGCGCAACUCUUAUCUUUAUAUAAGGUUUUCAUCCUAAUAAAAGUUAGACAUUAACUUUUUAAGCUUUAAAAGAAACUGCCAAUGAUAAAUUGGAGGAAGGUGAGAAUUAAGUCAAGUCUCUGUGGCCCUUAUAGGCUGGGCUACACACGUGCUACAAUGAAAAUUACAAAGAGUUACAAAAUUAUUUUUAAUUUAUGUUAAUCUUGAAAAGUUUUUUUAGUUCGAAUUGUAAUCUGAAACUCGAUUACAUGAAGUUGGAAUCACUAGUAAUCGCAAAUCAGCAUGUUGCGGUGAAUAUGUAUCUUGGCCUUGUACACACCGCCCGUCACAUGCAGAGAGUUAAAUUUAUUUGAAGUUUUGAUAAAAUGUUGAGGAAGUUAAUAUUUUUAGCAUUUACAAAACCAUUAAGAAUUUAAUAAUUUGGAUGAAGUCGUAACAAGGUA